Molecule: long non-coding RNA, 601 nt
Filed under: Prunus dulcis (almond)
Lineage: Eukaryota; Viridiplantae; Streptophyta; Magnoliopsida; Rosales; Rosaceae
Source: RNAcentral
GGCCUACGUACAUAAACACAAAAACUGUUUCAACUUUUCAACUGGUGGUUUUGAUGACCCUCGGCUUUUGCUUCCCUUUAGGCAGCAGAUGAUGUAGGGCGGUUGCCAAAAGCUAGCUAAUAAGUCAAAUCAUCAGAAGAAAUGCAUCAAAUGGGUUGGGUUGGGUUGGUUUUGUCUAUAAAAGCAUCUUUUGAGAGAGAGAGAGAGCAACAGAGCUGCAGAUGGGUUUUUGAGCACUUGUUGCGGGGAAGAAAGAAGAGGCACACACAUGUACAGAAAGGUUGUUGUUGCAAAGGUUGAUGGAGAAAGAUGUGAAUAUAUACAUAAUGAAGGUAUUGGCGCGCCUCAAUUUGAAGGCAUGGUUAAUAUAUGGAGACCUUAGCCAUGUGAUUCUGAUUGAGCCGCGUCAAUAUCUCCUUUUGCAUCUCUCUCCAUAUUUUCAUCCUUCAUUUCAUGGUAUGUAGUUCUUGAUCGAUCAUCCAUCCCCUCCCCCACUUCUGUCAAUCUUUUUUCUUGUAUCUCCCUUUUUCUUUUUCUGUUCUCUCUGGGUUUUAUUACAACCUUUGAAUUAUUAAAGUGCUCCUCUUUGUUUUUUUUUGCA